UUAAAGUAUUUUAUUAUUUGUUUAAGAAAUAGACAUUUCAUUAAAGUUUAUCAACACUAUUGAAGAUUCUGAAGUGCCUAUUUGUUUUAUAUCUAUUAAAAAAAAAUCUGGUGCGUCUGAGAAAACAGUUUCGAGGAUAACACAAGAAGGAAAAGUAGCGGCUAGUAUAGGUCUACCAGAAUCUGAUGGCAAAAAAAAGCUAAAAAAAUAGCGAUUUUCAUAUGGCAACAAAAAAAAAGUCAUCUGUCAAAACUGAAAUUUCGAGGAAUUGUUUUUGGUUUGGCUUCAAAUUUCCUUUAAAAAGUGGUGAAAAUGUCGAAGAAACCUCUUCGAUCGCAAGCAAGAAAUAUUGUUUUCAAUGUUUAUCAAAGGAUACUUGAUGAACAAGGUGUAGAACAAACACAAUCAUCGAUAUUGAGCCAUGUGCAAGCAUUGACGGAUGUUUCUAAUACUACCAUAAAACGAAUUGUUGCUGAAGGCAGAUCUAACAGAGGCGUAUUUAGUACGCCCGGUAAAAAGAGGAAAGGUGGCAAAAAUACUGCGUCUUUCUCGUCUUCCUCUUCCGAUGAAGACUUUUUUAUGGAUGUUUAGUAUUUGGAACCAUUUUCAAGUUAAUAAAUUCAUGAACAGAGUAA
Molecule: long non-coding RNA, 635 nt
Organism: Bombyx mori (domestic silkworm)
Lineage: Eukaryota; Metazoa; Arthropoda; Insecta; Lepidoptera; Bombycidae
Exons: 2
Source: RefSeq, a predicted model, not a curated record